RNAcentral lists this ribosomal RNA (406 nucleotides) under uncultured bacterium. RNAcentral's name for it is "partial 16S ribosomal RNA". It matches the Rfam family "Bacterial small subunit ribosomal RNA", at positions 29 to 526 of the family's 1533-position model. The record is from RNAcentral.
AUUGAACGCUGGCGGCAGGCCUAACACAUGCAAGUCGAACGAGUGGCGGACGGGUGAGUAAUGUCUGGGAACCUGCCCGAUGGAGGGGGAUAACUACUGGAAACGGUAGCUAAUACCGCAUACCAUCGGAUCUGCCCAGAUGGGAUUAGCUAGUUGGGGGGGUAAAGGCUCACCUAGGCGACGAUCCCUAGCUGGGUUGAGAGGAGGACCAGCCACACUGGGACUGAGACACGGCCCAGACUCCUACGGGAGGCAGCAGUGGGGAAUAUUGCACAAUGGGGGCAAGCCUGAUGCAGCCAUGCCGCGUGUAUGAAGAAGGCCUUCGGGUUGUAAAGUACUUUCAGCGGGGAGGCGUUACCCGCAGAAGAAGCACCGGCUAACUACGUGCCAGCAGCCGCGGUAAUAC